AAUGGCCAGUCUUCGCGAGCGAAGAUCCGGGGAAGGUCUUUACACCUUCCAGCCUGCGCAUUGGAUUUUUUAGGUGAGACACAGUGUGCGCGGAACUGAGCCCACCCUUUAAUCCUAAGGUUCAUCUGCCAGGGCCAAGCGAGCUUGGACGGUGGCAGCGAGCUCCUCAGGACGUAGAUGGAUUGCUUUAAAGGCUAACGAGCUCCAUCUGCCCGGGAGUGUCCCUGACCAGGAAUCGAACCCAGGUCUCGGUGGUGACAGCGCCGUGCCCUUAACCACUAGACCACCAGGGGCUCCAUUUAUAAGAUUAGGUCUACAUGGAAAAUACAAGUUUGAGGACAUCCUGUUCUGCUUAUUUUUCCUUAAUUAAGUAAAUUCUUUACAAGACAUUUAUGUUUUUUAAUUUACUAUCCUUAAAUUUAUCUGUGUAUCAGUUUAUUUAGGAAUUAUACCAUUUUGGUCUUCUAUCCAACUUAAAAUGUGAUCCUUUUCUCAGAACAAAAACCAAACCAAACCAAACAUAACAAAAAACCAAACCCAAACAAAACCACAAAACAAACCCAAAAACAAACAAAAAAAACCAACCAAAAGGAAGUCAGGAAGCAAAUAAAAACUAAUUUUUCCCCUUUUGCAAUAAUAAAAAUUCACUGAUAUUUUGCAAUUAAAAAAAAAAAACGUAACAUUCUCACCAAAAAGGCAACCAACCCUUUAAAUAUAUUCCAAUUCAAAUUUGAAGAAAAUUUGUACCAAAUAAUCUAAGUUCUUGCUAAAAAAAAACCCAACAAAUAUUUAUGUAAGUAGUUUCGGGACAAAAUGUUUUAAAAACAUUGAAAAAAGACUGUUUUGCUGAAAAGUUCAUUUUCAACUACAGCGUCAUUCAGUGAAAUAAGACACAUACUUUUUGGGACAUAGGUGUGAAACAGCAGAAGCCACCUGAAAGCUCAGUAUGGGAUUACUUUAAUCUUUGAGGGCCUGACUCCAAGUCCAUUGAUGUUAACUCCUGUUGACUUCAUUAGUUAUAGGAUUAAGUCUUUAAAAGAUAUCCACUUAGCUGGCAGAAGAUCUUAACUUCAGGCAUCACUGCACACAUGACCUCUCUGUGUCGGCAUCUCCAAUCAUUAAACCAAUGUUUUCCAGAAUAAGACUGCAGAUUCAACACUGCACAAAGCCAUAUGAAGCAUAUCCAAUCCUCUUGGGUUUCCUUAAUGGAUAUUCCAAACACUUACACAAAAUCUGCCAGGCUUCUUGAUAAUUCUUGAAAAAUGUUGAGCAAUUAGCUCACAGGUUUUCUCUUUCACACACAUAUACACUUGUUUCCAAUAUGCCCAGUAAGCAGGAAAGUAAUUGAAAUGUCAAGUCACUGUCCCCAUUUUAUGAAAUGGCCAUAGUGAGAUGGGGCCCAAAGUAGCCCCCACAGAUGCUCAUGAACAUCCACAGAACAGUUCCCUCGGCUGUUUUGAGUCCAGUAUUACAAGGGGUGAUUUUGGCAGUAUUAGGUGCAUUUUCAAACCCUUUUUUUCCUGUCUGUUUAGCGGGGAUAGUGUAACAUUUCAAUCAAGACUAUAUCCUAAUCCAAAAAUGUUGUUACCCUUACUAGUGAGACUAGCAAGACUGAAAGUGGUGAGAGCCCUCAGUACUGACAUGCCAGGCCUAAGCGAUAAUGGGGUGGGACAUGAGCAGACGCUACCUAGAUGUGUCCUACACAGGGACAUGUCUUGCUGCUUGCCUUUGUUCUCAUUUCUUUCAGUUACAACUCUGCACACAGGAUUUAUUGUGCUCUAAAAUGUUUUCAACGUCCAAAAAAAUCUUAGCACAGCGAUUAAUUCUGCGUGGAUUUACACUGGGUAGACUAACUAAUCAGACAGUAUUUCUAAUGCCAUUGAUGGGAAAAGAGAAAUGUUACUGUUUUAUAACUGACACAUCCACCUUUUUCCUUCAGUUCACUCACGAGUUAUUAGUAAUUGCUAGUUGGUUUAUAUAUUAGCAAAGGAUUAUCAUGUUGUUCCAUAACCCAAACUCCCGUAGGCUUCUGUAGGAAAUUUUUCUUCACAUUACACUGUACAGAUUGAUUUGAAAGACAAGUGACACACCUGCUUCCAGAGCUCUCUGUACUGAAAAGAUAUCACCUGGCAAUCAUUUCAUGCCACAGAAAUUAACAAACAUUUAAUAUUCUGUGUUAUAUACGUAUAAUGAAUGUCUUUGCCUAUUGUCUACACAGACAGGUUUCCACAAACAAAAGUGCCAGAAAUUACUGCACAGACAGCAAGCUGCAUUAUUGGAGAAGAGUUCUAUUUCUACUGAUAAAUAACAACUUUCCAUCUGCUGCAAGUUAUCAAUAGGGUCCAAUGUAUCAUGUAGUAAAGUUCCUCUUAUGGUCUAUGAGAUUUUACUAUUUAUUUUCAUUAUGCAAUGAAAACAGAAGUAAAAAAGUAAAAAAAAAAAAAAAAAAAAAAAAAAAAAGACAAA
Molecule: long non-coding RNA, 2466 nt
Organism: Myiozetetes cayanensis
Lineage: Eukaryota; Metazoa; Chordata; Aves; Passeriformes; Tyrannidae
Exons: 2
Source: RefSeq, a predicted model, not a curated record